RNAcentral lists this ribosomal RNA (301 nucleotides) under uncultured bacterium. RNAcentral describes it as "partial 16S ribosomal RNA". It matches the Rfam family "Bacterial small subunit ribosomal RNA", at positions 509 to 808 of the family's 1533-position model. The record is from RNAcentral.
CAGCCGCCACGGGAAUACGUAGGGUGCAAGCGUUAAUCGGAAUUACUGGGCGUAAAGCGUGCGCAGGCGGUCUGUUAAGACAGAUGUGAAAUCCCCGGGCUCAACCUGGGAAUUGCAUUUGUGACUGGCAAGCUAGAGUAUGGCAGAGGGGGUGGAAUUCCGCGUGUAGCAGUGAAAUGCGUAGAUAUGCGGAGGAACACCGAUGGCGAAGGCAGCCCCCUGGGCCAAUACUGACGCUCAUGCACGAAAGCGUGGAGAGCAAACAGGAUUAGAUACCCCUGUAGUCCCUGUCUCUUAUACA